Molecule: ribosomal RNA, 279 nt
Filed under: uncultured bacterium
Lineage: Bacteria
Description: partial 16S ribosomal RNA
Rfam family: Bacterial small subunit ribosomal RNA
Source: RNAcentral
UGCCAGCAGCCGCGGUAAUACGAACCGGGCAAACGUUAUUCGGAAUCACUGGGCUUAAAGGGUGCGUAGGCGGCGCUAUCAGUCGGGUGUGAAAUCCCACGGCUCAACCGUGGAACUGCGCCCGAUACUGUAGUGCUUGAGGGAGAUAGAGGUGGGCGGAACGAAUGGCGGAGCGGUGAAAUGCGUUGAUAUCAUUCGGAACACCCGUGGCGAAAGCGGCUCACUGGGUCUCUUCUGACGCUGAGGCACGAAAGCUCGGGGAGCGAACGGGAUUAGAUA